Molecule: long non-coding RNA, 1614 nt
Organism: Ceratina calcarata
Lineage: Eukaryota; Metazoa; Arthropoda; Insecta; Hymenoptera; Apidae
Exons: 4
Source: RefSeq, a predicted model, not a curated record
GCGACAGAGUUUCACGAUCCAUUCUGAAGAACAGGAAGUAAUCAGAACGCUGCGUGAUGGCAUAUCAGCAUCAGCGCUUCCUCCGCGGAAACAAUUUCUCAAUCUUUCCGAUCGAUUGUUUCGACACGAUCAAUCAAAUUUUCCUUCCGAUGAAAGUGGAACCUCGUAACUAAAUACAAGAGCAUGAAUAUGAACUAGUUCGGAAGCCAUUUUCGAAUCCACAUAUAACUUAGUUUCUUCAAAAUGAAAUUGCUAUAUUCCAUUAAUUUAUCCUUUAUUGAGAAUAGUGCAACUUGUGCGAUAACACGGAGACUAUCGGAGUCUCAUUCCGAGUGAAUUGUGAAAGAAUUCGGGAACAAAAUGCAGUGAAUUGAGGAAACCUGGAGGCGAUACGCUUUCACUGUAUAUAAAGUAGGAUUAGGUGUAAUAUAAGCUGACCAACUUGGUAUCAUCAAUUUAAUAUUAGCUCCCCUAUUGCGAUGCGACGUAUGCGUUUAUUGCUUUGACAUAGAAGAACGAGAUGAAGAAAAGAGAGCAUUCGAUACUUCCUGUUCACUGGAGUGAACAUUUUCACAUUCAUGGAUUGUCUACACAUACAAUAAGUACGCAUACUCUGUUUGGAAGAAAUAUGAAGUUCCCCAAACAACACGGUCCAUCCAAAGCACGGCCAAAGCCAUUCGUCUUCGAAGUUCGGCGGCGCGUAUCGAGCGCACACGCACACAGUUAUCGGGUGCGGUGAAACCGAGCAAGCUACUGAAGCUACUAAUCUAUUUUGAGGCGGUGGUGUAACUUCUCGCGUACAGAGCAGCGAGCAAGCACAAACCCAGGGGAGGAGGUGGCUGGCGACAGAUGGCGUUCACCAAGAAUCCUCGGAUUUCCACGAACCGUGAUAUAAUCGGCCGACUCGGCUCGACUAAUGCCAGCCCGCAAAUACAAAGCAGCUGCGUUCACAUGCUCGACUUGCGACACGACGCACAAUACGCUAAUGCGGACUUGGUUGCAUCAACAUGCUCGAACCUCAAGGCGGUCCUCUCCCAAAAAUCGAGCGUUUCAUCGAACGGGAAUAUAUCCGAGAACGCGGUCUGGAACAAUGGCAGUGGACGGUCAGUGGAUUUUAUUGGCCGCAAGAGAAUUAAUGGAGGGCUAAUGAAAUCGGUCACGGUCGGAGGAGCAACGGGAAGGCGCAAAAUUCUCUCUGGCUCACUCGACUCAAAAGAAGAAUCACAGGCGGUCGCAACUUAUUCGAAACUUGCGUCACUCGGAGAGACCAAACUUUUCUCCUUUCAUCCCCCGAAUAGCGUGUAAUAGAAUUCGUUCCACGGAAAUUUCCCGACGCCUGAUUCACUGUGUUAAUGGUUUCACCGAUUAAAUCGUACGAUAGCGCCGCCGUUAAACGAAACACUUAUCGAAUUAUAUUAUACUUCCUCUUUUCAUUAAAAAUGUAUUUGCGUUUCCAGCUAUGAAAAAAAAAACAAAUUUCCCUCUGUUAUACAAUUUCUACAGUCUGAAUGAAUUCCUAGUGAUUGAAUGUUCCCAAGUACAAAGUUUAUUUUAAGACUGCGGAUUUUAUAGGAAAAAUAGUAUGUACAGAAAAUAUAUAAAAAUAGAUUCAAU